RNAcentral lists this long non-coding RNA (693 nucleotides) under Struthio camelus australis. Its description in RNAcentral is "lncRNA (ENSSCUG00000009929.1)". Lineage: Eukaryota; Metazoa; Chordata; Aves; Struthioniformes; Struthionidae. The record is from RNAcentral.
GGGCUGGUCCUGCUCCCAGGGCAUCGCUCCCCUCCCAGUGCGAGGAUGCUGCCAGCAGUCCCAGCAAUCAGCCUAUUCGUUUGGGAUGAGCUGGGAACAGUGUUGGCUGCUGUGCCUGCCCCGGCACCCGGGUGGCAUUUUGGGGACAGAACGUGCAUUUUUUUUUGCUCUCUGAGCGUGGGAGCAGCGCCCCGUGCACGGCCCCGGGGCAGAGCCGCGUGCCCUGCCGGGACCCCCUCUCCUCUUGCAGACCUCCGACAAGGGGCCCACGACAGUCUACGCCAGCGUGACACUGCCCAUGAUCUGAGCCUCGCCGUGGCAUUGUGCUCUGGGGACGGCACAGCCACAGAAUGGAACGGGGCUGCGGGCAAGUCCAUCACGUUUCGUCUGCAGCGCCUCUUGGGAAAGCACGUAGCCUGGCACUUUCAGAGCGAACUGCUAGCAACUGUCAAAUUUGGAAACCCUCCUGACAUCAUUUAUUUUGACCAAACCUACAAGAGUCGCCUGAACUUCUCUGCCAAUGGCACCGCAAUCACCAUCUCGCAGCUGGCAAUGGAAGACGCUGGCAUCUACACGGCUAAAUUCUCUACAACGGCAAAAGCUCUCUUCAUCCUGCAUGUGUACGCGGAGCUGCCGCAGCCAGCGAUCACCUGCAUCUGGAGCAACUGCUCCACCGCCGCCUGCCACUACCGC